UACGAAGGGGGCUAGCGUUGCUCGGAAUUACUGGGCGUAAAGCGCACGUAGGCGGUCUUUUAAGUCGGGGGUGAAAUCCUGGAGCUCAACUCCAGAACUGCCUUCGAUACUGGAAGACUUGAGUCCGGGAGAGGUGAGUGGAACUGCGAGUGUAGAGGUGAAAUUCGUAGAUAUUCGGAAGAACACCAGUGGCGAAGGCGGCUCACUGGACCGGCAUUGACGCUGAGGUGUGAAAGCGUGGGGAGCAAACAGG
Molecule: ribosomal RNA, 253 nt
Filed under: uncultured bacterium
Lineage: Bacteria
Description: partial 16S ribosomal RNA
Rfam family: Bacterial small subunit ribosomal RNA
Source: RNAcentral